UCGUCUCGGGGGCCGUGGGACGCGGGGCACUCAAUUCGGCCGUCACGGGAUCCGUCCAACUUCCUCCUAAGCCUGGCUCGUGUCCGGGGGGAAAACAACCUAGAAGACACAGAUCCACUGCCAGUACGGAAGUCUCUUUCUCUCAAAGCCACAACCACGAUAACGUGCACACACCAAAACGCUACUACAGAGUCCCCGAAGGAUACUCACCCGCCAGGCAGAGCUUAAUUGCCCUGCCGCUGCGAGUAUGUCACGUCGUAGCGCUAUGGUUUCCUCUCCGGCUUUCUCUCUCGGCGUCACCGUCUGCCUCUGUCCUCCGCGUCGUCCCUCUCCGCUGGGCCACCCUCUGCAGUGCUUAUCCCGGAACGCUCUCUUGUUGUCCUUCAUUGACUCCUAAAUAGUUCUCUCCAUCAGCCGCCGGUGCCUCCAGCCCCGCUACCAUUGGCUCCUGUGGAAGGAAGGGAGAACCCAAACAGGAUGAAGAGGAUGAAACUGUGUCUGUUGCCUUUACAGAGGGGGAUCCAGAAAGCCAUUACAGAGAGCAUGGCUGGACAGCAGCAGGAUGGUUCCUCAACUUCCACUGGACAGACUGACACAGUGAGAUGGAUGUUCAGGAAACACCAGAGGUUCAUUCCAUGGAAUUCAUGUGCAACUGAAUAAUUGAAUGUCCUCUAUGUAAUCCCAGUUAUCAGUAAAACGGAUUUACAAACUGCAUUUGCUGAGAAAAAUCAAAAAAACAGAUUAGGAGGGCAGAUCUGGAAAUUGAAAGACUGGAGCACAAGUUAGAGGUGGGUGAUGGUCACAGGUGAAUUAUGUUAACUAUUGGAAAAUUAACUGAACUAUCUCUUUUAUUUGUAGGAAAUAAAGAAGACCAAAUGAAAUGUGUAUCAUGUCUUUAUUUGCUGUGGUGGUGAUGAUGGUGACUUAAAAUCUAAAGUGAUUAUUGCAUAUGGUGUCUCUGACUGCUCUGCUGUCCUGGAUAGCUGCAGGUGGAUGGGGUCAUUAUCUGGGUCUUCAGUUUGUAGGGCAGGGUGUUGCUCUCCUCUAAUAGUAAUAUUAUGAAGA
Long non-coding RNA from Acanthochromis polyacanthus (spiny chromis), 1065 nucleotides. RefSeq lists it as uncharacterized. The record is from RefSeq and is a predicted model, not a curated record. Lineage: Eukaryota; Metazoa; Chordata; Actinopteri; Pomacentridae. The transcript is spliced from 3 exons.